UGGCGGACGGGUGAGUAAUGUCUGGGAAACUGCCUGAUGGAGGGGGAUAACUACUGGAAACGGUAGCUAAUACCGCAUAACGCCGCAAGACCGAAGAGGGGGACCUUCGGGCCUCUUGCCAUCAGAUGUGCCCAGAUGGGAUUAGCUAGUAGGUGGGGUAACGGCUCACCUAGGCGACGAUCCCUAGCUGGUCUGAGAGGAUGACCAGCCACACUGGAACUGAGACACGGUCCAG
RNAcentral lists this ribosomal RNA (235 nucleotides) under uncultured Enterobacterales bacterium. RNAcentral's name for it is "partial 16S ribosomal RNA". It matches the Rfam family "Bacterial small subunit ribosomal RNA", at positions 96 to 334 of the family's 1533-position model. Lineage: Bacteria; Pseudomonadati; Pseudomonadota; Gammaproteobacteria; Enterobacterales. The record is from RNAcentral.